Molecule: ribosomal RNA, 460 nt
Filed under: uncultured bacterium
Lineage: Bacteria
Description: bacterial SSU rRNA
Rfam family: Bacterial small subunit ribosomal RNA
Source: RNAcentral
GACGAACGCUGGCGGCGUGCCUAACACAUGCAAGUCGAACGGGACCAGAUGUCAGACAGCGGACAUCAGAAGACAGAUUACAGAUGGCAGAAUACAGAUUCAGAAGAGGGCGUGGAGGAAACCAAGCCUAGAUUCUAAUAUCCUAAGUCUGAGCAUUAGUAUCUGAACUCUGGUAUCUGGCGUCUGAUGUCUGGUCUAGUGGCGGACGGGUGAGUAACGCGUGAGCAACCUGCCUUACAGAGGGGGAUAACAUUCGGAAACAAAUGCUAAUACCGCAUAACAUAUAUUUACGGCAUCGUAGAUAUAUCAAAGGAGCAAUCCGCUGUAAGAUGGGCUCGCGUCCGAUUAGAUAGUUGGUGAGGUAAUGGCUCACCAAGUCUGCGAUCGGUAGCCGGACUGAGAGGUUGAACGGCCACAUUGGGACUGAGACACGGCCCAGACUCCUACGGGAGGCAGCAGU